ACUUGGGCUUCAAAAGCAAAAGUACGAUUAUGUAUUAACUCACUCUGUAUAAAGUAUUUAGCUGCUUAAGAGAUGGGUCUAAUAUAUAGCAUGGUCAGGGUUUUUUUAAUGUAUUGGCUAUUCAAAGAACACUUUCCACAUCGCUUUACUAUUUAGGAAUUCCUGUUUAACUCCUACAGACAUUCAUCAGAUUUAAAAAUAUCUGCAGCAUACGUAAAAAUGUACAGGACAGUGUUGGACCUUUUAGUUACCCAUAUAUCAGUCUUCUCAAAUCUGGACAUGGUCUAUACCAGGGGUGUCAAACUCCCGGCCCAUGGGCCGGACGCAUCACCGGGAAACCAUGCCCAUCCCUUUGCCGGCAAUGGGGGAAAAGCUCCGAUGCAUUGCGCAACGUCACGUGAUGUCGCGAGUUUGACAUGUGCGGUCUAGACUCUAGAGAACUCCCAAACUUAUCCAACCAAUAUGGUUACUGCUGAGAAUUCUGAGACUUGAAUACUGUAUAUCUGAAGGAUGCCCAGUUUAGGAAAAACUACCAAACCCUAAAAAUUAUUCCCUAGAACACAUCCAUAAUUUCUGUGCAUUAGUGCAGUUUUUGGAACAGGUUUUUAAACCGUGGGGAAAAAAAUCGUUGAUCUUUUGAGACUCUCAUCACAUAGUGUUAUACAGUAAGUACAGUUACAAGUAAUACAGCAAAGAAAAUUGGAAACCCGUUCUUUUAGAGCAGUUGUGCAGGUUUGGGGAUUUUUUUCUUUCUUUCCUUUUUCAUCCUCCUUCAAAGGUGAGCUUCGUGAGGUCAUAAUCUCAUUUGACAUCAGAAUCCCCUGAACUCCUGCAUAGCAGGAUUCAUCAGAAAGAGACAUAGAGCUGCCAGAGGGAAGUCUGUAUUUAAACACAGCUCCCUUGGAUUGUUGCAAAUGGAGAGAGGAACAUGAUGAAAUUUCUAAGGCUUAAGCUCAAAGGCACAACCAUGAAAGAUCCAAGUCGUAGGAGUACUAGUCCAAGCAUUAUCAGUGAAGACAUGAUCAUGAAUGGUCACUCUCAUGAAGAUGAUAAUCCAUUUGCAGAAUAUAUGUGGAUGGAAAAUGAAGAGGAAUUCAACAGGCAGAUUGAAGAGGAAUUGUGGGAAGAAGAAUUUAUAGAACGUUGCUUCCAAGAAAUGCUGGAAGAGGAAGAGCACGAAUGGUUUAUUCCAGCAAGAGAUCUUCCGCAAACGAUGGAUCAAAUUCAAGACCAGUUUAACGAUCUUGUUAUCGGUGACAGUUCGUCACUGGAAGAUCUGGUGUUUGAAGAAUUAACCUCAAGGGAAUAAUAAGGACAUGGAGAAUUCAUUUCCAUUGUUCAUCUGUCAGUUUCCUUGAGGUUUUUCAGGAAGCUCAGAUCCUGUUGUAGGUCUGCAGGGUUACAAAUAGUUCUAAAGAUCACAUGAACUCUCCUAUAUUAUAGUAGAUACAAUAUCAUAGUCUGAUGAUGUUCUCAUUUGGUAGGUAUUCUUAAAAUUCUAUUGUUUUGGUUGUAAUUAAAAAGCUUAGAAUUUUAUUUAUAAGAUGAACUACUUUUUUUAGCUAUAAUUUCAGCCUGUUAUCACUAACAGGAAUAUUGUUUUGAAAAAACUUGAUAAAUUCUAAACCUAGCUCAUUGCAGACUUGGGAACAAUUUAUUGCACUUUAGAUUUUUGCAUUGAUACGUUGAAAGAUUAACCUCCCUCUCUGUGAAUUGUUACCUUGGCUAGAUUUGCCAGUUGAACAUUUAAUGUGGAUGGGCAAUUUUGUUAUGUGGAUAUCAAAUGUAUUGAACUGAUCUAGUUGCUUUCAUUAUAAGUAAAUUACUGUCUUUUUAGUAUUCUGACUGAAAGUAAAGUUAUUUUGUGAUUGCCUGUACCUGCCUAUUAAGCUUGUUCACCCUGCUCUGAAUUUACAAGUUGGGUUGUAUCAAAUAAAGCACAAAACUAUUUCUUAAAAGUAGGAUUUGUAUAUUGUAAGAAAAAUAUAUGAGGGUCCCUGGUGUAUCAUGGUCUGUAUUAUAGUACACAUGAAUCCAGACAUGUGGAUAGGAAGAUAAUAGAUUUAAAAUCUUAGGACUUUCAUAAGAUUGAUUUUGCAUAUUCUGGGUGAGAAUGUCAAAAUCUUGCAAAAUUUCAAAUGACAUUACCAAAUAUUGAGAGGUAUAACAGCCUUCUAAAAUUGUAAUACUUUGAUUUAUUUAUAUUGGAUACCUGCACGUUAGAUAAGCUACUAGAGUACCUUUGUGGAGCAUAAUCAUCGCUGGCCUACAGAUUGAGAACUCGUAGCCUGGUGUUCUUUUAAGUCUAAAUUGGGACUCCAUCUUACGGCAGGAAAUUCCAUAGUUUAUAUAUGCAUUGUGUGAAAUAUUUUGCAUGACCUCAACUUCCAGUAUUGUAAAUAAAACGAAGAAUGGGAUCUGUAUUUUCUGCAUCAUGCAUGAUGUUAUACAACUUUCCUUAUUUACUUUCAGCCCAAGUUAAAAAGCCCUAAAGUAGUCCUUUCUUAUAAGAAACCUAUCUGAGCCCCUCUUAUACUUAUGGUUGCUCUUUUAUGUAUUGAUUAUUUUGCACCUUUUCAAGUGUAUUCCAGUCCUGCCAUUACUGUACUGAAUUUUUUUACAUUUUCUAUUCUUAAAUCUGAACACGAGAUUUGUCAUUUUUAACAAGAAAUGCUCUCUGAGUUGUUCCUUUUUGUUGAGCAGUGCACCCCUGACUCCCAGCAUUCUUUUUCCGAUCACUCUUAGUAACCUCAACUCCCAUUCAUGGAGGUAACCUUUGGAAUUUUUAUACCCAUCUGCAUUACUUUGUGCUUGCUCCUACUGAUUUGCAUUUGCCAUUUUGAGGCCUACUUACUCAGUUUGGAGAGAGGACCUUUUGGAGCUCUUCCCAAUAUCUUUGCAAUCAAAAUGCACAUCUUUAUGUCAUUAGCAGACUGGAUCACCUUAGUCCUUAACUUCAGUUUAUUUAUAAACUAAUUAGAAACAAUGAUCUACCACCCCCAGUCCCUGAGAAUUUCACUUUGCACUAUUGUCUAUUUAUUCUUCUCUCUUUUUUAAUUCUUAAGAGAAUUUCCAAUCCCUAAGAACAUAAGCCUUCUUUAUCCCCCCCGCUUCCAAGUUUGCUCAAGAAUCUCUGGUAAAGGACAUUAUCAAAGGUUCAUACAGUGUCUGAUGGAUUUCCUCCUCUACAUUUUUGUUAAUACUGUCAACAAGUUUAGAAAAUUAGUUUAAGAAGAGCAAUAAUGUGAUCCUCUAGAUCAGGGAUGUCAAACUGCUGGCCCGCGGGCUGGUUUCAUCAUACUGGAGCCGCGCCCACCCCAUUGCCGGCAAUGGCGUGAUAUCGCGAGUUUGACAUGCCUGCUCUAGAUGCUGCUGCUGUAUUACCACUUUUGUUUGUCUUACAAUAGCCAGUGGAGAAUGAUGCUGAAAACUACAAUUUAACAUCAUCUGGAGAGCCACAUGUUAUAACAGGGGUGUCAAACUCCCAUUGCCGGAGCUGGGGUGGGCGCGGCUUCCACGUGACGCAUCUGGCCCGUGGGCCAGCAGUUUGACGCCCCUGUGUUAUAAUAUAUUCAGUUAUUGUUGUGAAAGUUGGUUUAGCUCUAUCGAAGGAAGAGAUUGAGAUCUUGAAUUGGGUGGUAUCAAUCAAACCAGGGGAUCCUGAUCUAUCUGGCAUGUAAGCUGACUCUAAGCUGUUUCCUUGGCAAGAGUAUCUUGCUUUCUCCACUGAGGCCUAUGUUCAGGAAUGUUUUCACUGCAAAGAAUUCCUGUUAAACUUAGUGCAAAUAUGUUCAAAAGAAAACCUUAGGUUUCACAGUCUAAGCUUUUAAAAUUUCUCUC
This is an RNA transcript of Crotalus tigris (Tiger rattlesnake), 3840 nucleotides long. It is a transcript of the gene named poly(A) binding protein interacting protein 2, with no coding region annotated. Lineage: Eukaryota; Metazoa; Chordata; Lepidosauria; Squamata; Viperidae. The record is from RefSeq and is a predicted model, not a curated record. The transcript is spliced from 5 exons.